Molecule: transfer RNA, 67 nt
Filed under: Eliomys quercinus (garden dormouse)
Lineage: Eukaryota; Metazoa; Chordata; Mammalia; Rodentia; Gliridae
Description: tRNA-Cys
Source: RNAcentral
AGUCUUGAGGUGAUUAAUCACAUUGAAUUGCAAAUUCAAAGGAGCAGCUUCAGAGCUGCCGGGACUU